GCCUGCCCAGUGAAUAAUUAAACGGCCGCGGUACCCUAACCGUGCAAAGGUAGCGUAAUCAUUUGUCUACUAAUUAUAGACCUGUAUGAAAGGCAAAAUGAGGAUUUAACUGUCUCUUAUAAUAAAUCAAUUAAACUGAUCUCCUAGUAAAAAAGCUAGAAUAAUAACAUAAGACCAGAAGACCCUGUGAAGCUUAAAUCAAACUAUUAAACCAUAUAAUAACUACUUUCGGUUGGGGCGACCUUGGAAAAAAAAAGAACUUCCAAGACCCAGCACAGCUGAUAAUUGAACCAAGUUACUCCAGGGAUAACAGCGCAAUCUUCUUCAAGAGCCCAUAUCAAAAAGAAGGUUUACGACCUCGAUGUUGGAUCAGGACAUCCUAAUGGUGCAGCCGCUAUUAAGGGUUCGUUUGUUCAACGAUUAACAGUCCUACGUGAUCUGA
This 442-nucleotide ribosomal RNA is filed under the name Cemophora coccinea (scarlet snake). Its description in RNAcentral is "partial 16S ribosomal RNA". It matches the Rfam family "Bacterial large subunit ribosomal RNA", at positions 1857 to 2608 of the family's 2925-position model. Lineage: Eukaryota; Metazoa; Chordata; Lepidosauria; Squamata; Colubridae. The record is from RNAcentral.